This 269-nucleotide ribosomal RNA is filed under the name uncultured prokaryote. RNAcentral's name for it is "partial 16S ribosomal RNA". It matches the Rfam family "Bacterial small subunit ribosomal RNA", at positions 524 to 792 of the family's 1533-position model. The record is from RNAcentral.
UACGUAGGUGGCAAGCGUUGUCCGGAAUUACUGGGUGUAAAGGGCGUGUAGGCGGGAAGGCAAGUCAGAUGUGAAAUCCCAGGGCUUAACUCUGGAGCUGCAUCUGAAACUGUUUUUCUUGAGUACUGGAGAGGAAAGUGGAAUUCCUAGUGUAGCGGUGAAAUGCGUAGAGAUUAGGAGGAACACCAGUGGCGAAGGCGGCUUUCUGGACAGUAACUGACGCUGAGGCGCGAAAGCGUGGGGAGCAAACAGGAUUAGAUACCCUGGUA